This 169-nucleotide ribosomal RNA is filed under the name uncultured bacterium. Its description in RNAcentral is "partial 16S ribosomal RNA". It matches the Rfam family "Bacterial small subunit ribosomal RNA", at positions 338 to 519 of the family's 1533-position model. The record is from RNAcentral.
CCUACGGGAGGCAGCAGUGGGGAAUAUUGCACAAUGGGCGCAAGCCUGAUGCAGCGACGCCGCGUGAGGGAUGACGGCCUUCGGGUUGUAAACCUCUUUCAGCACAGACGAAGCGCAAGUGACGGUAUGUGCAGAAGAAGGACCGGCCAACUACGUGCCAGCAGCCGCG